Sinocyclocheilus grahami is the source of this 715-nucleotide long non-coding RNA. RefSeq lists it as uncharacterized. The record is from RefSeq and is a predicted model, not a curated record. The transcript is spliced from 2 exons. NCBI's taxonomy places the organism in Eukaryota, Metazoa, Chordata, Actinopteri, Cypriniformes, Cyprinidae.
UGUGAAUGGAUCUGAAAUUAACAGUUUAAACUAAUUCUGAACUGACAACUCAAUUUGUCAAAUCUAAAGCUACUUUUGAUAGUGAGGUUCAAAUGAGAGAUUCUUUUAUAAUCACCUGUCUUAACACUCUCAUGUAAGUAACAAGACAGAGAGGCUGCAAAAUUAGUCUAACGGUAAUCUUCAGGGAACAAUCGUUGGGAGAGACUCCGACGCGGUUCCAUGGUGCGCAACCCAAGUUCAGAAAAUGGCUUCAACAUCAACCUGCAACUCUAGUGUGAAAAAUCCCUUAAGAAGUUCAGAAAUGCACUUUAAAAGGACUUUAAACUCUAUUUUAAAGCCACCCACUCAUUGUGCGUCUGUCUCCCCAGGGCAACAACGAUGAUGUCAUCCUGUCCUGCUGUCUGCACUACUGUCAGGACAAAGCCAAGGACUUCAUGCCUGCUGAGAGAAAUGGGCCGGUGAGGUUGCGCAGGGAGGUGGUCUUGCUCACGGAUGACCGCAACCUAAGAGUCAAAGCUCUCACACGUAACGUGCCUGUCCGGGACAUCCCAGCGUUCCUGAUCUGGGCUAAAGUAGGCUGAACCGCAGACCUGACCUACCGCUGUACAAACCAGUCAUCCUCCACUGUGAAAGUUGAAGAUGAAGAAAUGUCACUCAGAGAGGAUGAGUAGAAAGGGGAAAAAUCCAACAAGCUUUUUGUCAAACCCCCCCCCCC